CGAGUUGGCCGGGCGGCCGCGGACACCGGGUUCUCCCGGUGUUCGAGGAAAGUCCGGACUUCACAGAGCAGGGUGAUUGCCAACGGCAAUCCGAGGUGACUCGCGGGAAAGUGCCACAGAGAACAGACCGCCGCCGGCGGGUCCUAGGACUCGACGGGGGUAAGGGUGAAACGGUGCGGUAAGAGCGCACCAGCACCCCGGGUGACCGGGGUGGCUCGGCAAACCCCACCCGAAGCAAGGCCAAGAAGGCCGCGACCCGGUCGCGGCUGCGCAGGUGUCCGAGGGUUGCUCGCCCGAGCCUGCGGGUAGGCCGCUCGAGGCACCCGGUGACGGUGUGUCCAGAUGGAUGGUCGCCGCCCCGCCUCCCGGCGGGGAACAGAAUCCGGCUUACAGGCCAACUCGUCCG
RNAcentral lists this RNase P RNA (406 nucleotides) under Mycolicibacterium grossiae. RNAcentral's name for it is "Mycobacterium grossiae Bacterial RNase P class A". It matches the Rfam family "Bacterial RNase P class A". Rfam says of the family: Ribonuclease P (RNase P) is a ubiquitous endoribonuclease, found in archaea, bacteria and eukarya as well as chloroplasts and mitochondria. Its best characterised activity is the generation of mature 5'-ends of tRNAs by cleaving the 5'-leader elements of precursor-tRNAs. Cellular RNase Ps are ribonucleoproteins. The record is from Rfam by way of RNAcentral. Lineage: Bacteria; Bacillati; Actinomycetota; Actinomycetes; Mycobacteriales; Mycobacteriaceae.